AACCCUGCACCUAGCCUCAACCCUGCACCUUAACCCUGCACCUAGCCUCAACCCUGCACCUAGCCUCAACCCUGCACCUUAACCCUGCACCUAGCCUCAACCCUGCACCUAGCCUCAACCUAGGCCUGGUAACAGGUAACUCAUGACAAUAUCUGUGUGUAGGAUGGGUUGCAUUUAUGCAACAACAAACAAACAGUUUCAAAGUGCUUUGCUGAUGUUGUAUCAUGUCUGCGUUGUGGAGGUUGUAGUGAUGUCUGUGUUGUGGAGGUUGUAGUGAUGUUGUAUCAUGUCUGUGUUGUGGAGGUUGUAGUGAUGUUGUAUCAUGUCUGUGUUGUGGAGGUUGUAGUGAUGUUGUAUCAUGUCUGUGUUGUGGAGGUUGUAGUGAUGUUGUAUCAUGUCUGCGUUGUGGAGGUUGUAGUGAUGUUGUAUCAUGUCUGUGUUGUGGAGGUUGUAGUGAUGUUGUAUCAUGUCUGUGUUGUGGAGGUUGUAGUGAUGUUGUAUCAUGUCUGUGUUGUGGAGGUUGUAGUGAUGUUGUAUCAUGUCUGUGUUGUGGAGGUUGUAGUGAUGUUGUAUCAUGUAUGUGUUGUGGAGGUUGUAGUGAUGUUGUAUCAUGUCUGUGUUGUGGAGGUUGUAGUGAUGUUGUAUCAUGUCUGUGUUGUGGAGGUUGUAGUGAUGUUGAAGUGAUGUUGUAUCAUGUCUGUGUUGUGGAGGUUGUAGUGAUGUUGUAUCAUGUCUGUGUUGUGGAGGUUGUAGUGAUGUUGUAUCAUGUCUGUUGUGGAGGUUGUAGUGAUGUUGUAUCAUGUCUGUGUUGUGGAGGUUGUAGUGAUGUUGUAUCAUGUCUGUGUUAUUUAGGUUGGGGGUGUUGUUCACUCCUCUGCUUCCUGCUGUACAGAUCAUCAAACUACUGCUUCUCUUCUACAUGAAGCAGGAAGCAGGUAGGUUCUCUGCUCUGAUCACUGUGCCAUGAUCAUACUGGUAACUUCUCUUCUACAUGAAGCAGGUAGGUACACCUCUGUUCUGAUCACUGUGCCAUGAUCAUACUGGUAACUUCUCUUCUACAUGAAGCAGGUAGGUACACCUCUGUUCUGAUCACUGUGCCAUGAUCAUACUGGUAACUUCUCUUCUACAGGAAGCAGGUAGGUACACCUCUGUUCUGAUCACUGUGCCAUGAUCAUACUGGUAACUUCUAUUCUACAUGAAGCAGGUAGGUACACCUCUGUUCUGAUCACUGUGCCAUGAUCAUACUGGUAACUUCUCUUCUACAGGAAGCAGGUAGGUUCUCUGCUCUGAUCACUGUGCCAUGAUCAUACUGCUAACUGGAC
Molecule: long non-coding RNA, 1322 nt
Organism: Oncorhynchus tshawytscha (Chinook salmon)
Lineage: Eukaryota; Metazoa; Chordata; Actinopteri; Salmoniformes; Salmonidae
Source: Ensembl